GCCUUUGUGGUGUAACUGUUAGAACACUCGGCGCGUAUUCGAGAGGCCCAGGUUCGAAUCCUGGCAAAUUCA
Molecule: transfer RNA, 72 nt
Filed under: Stegodyphus mimosarum
Lineage: Eukaryota; Metazoa; Arthropoda; Arachnida; Araneae; Eresidae
Rfam family: tRNA
About the family: Transfer RNA (tRNA) molecules are approximately 80 nucleotides in length. Their secondary structure includes four short double-helical elements and three loops (D, anti-codon, and T loops).
Source: Rfam by way of RNAcentral